Molecule: long non-coding RNA, 694 nt
Filed under: Vulpes vulpes (red fox)
Lineage: Eukaryota; Metazoa; Chordata; Mammalia; Carnivora; Canidae
Description: lncRNA (ENSVVUG00000013721.1)
Source: RNAcentral
GGGGGUGACUGGGUGACAGGCACUGAGGGGGGCACUUGACGGGAUGAGCACUGGGUGUUAUUCUGUAUGUUGGCAAAUUGAACACCAAUAAAAAAUAAAUUUAUUAUUUAAAACAAAAACUACAGCUACUUAUGAUAAAAAUUAAAUAGUAACUCCAGUGAUCCUGAAAAUGAAGAAUUAGAGAAGACUUAAAAAAAUAAAAUAAAAAAGAGGAAGUCCCGCAUUGCUUCAGGUGAUGCACCUCGGCCUGUUCCCGGAACCUCGGGUCCCAGAACUACUCCUUCCUCUCUCAGGUCUGAGGCUGGUGCAGGCCCGGCGGAGGGGACCGGGGCGCUGGCGGGAGCCCGGGAGCCAGGAGCGCAUGCGCCGCGAGUGGGCGGUUCCCUUGUCCCCCGCGGCUCCUUCAGCGCCUGCGCCGCCCGCACCGCAGGCUGCCGUCCUCUGGCGCAGAGUUCAGAUCACUGUUGAGUCCAGGUUCAGCAAAAACAGCCAGGCCAACAAGUUAGAAGCACUCCCAGCUGCUUGAGCUUGCACAUUGAAUUCAGUCACUGGUUAAUGCAUGAUUUGUGCGGCCCCACAGAAACUAUUCUGCCUUAGAUUCUGCGCCAGGCCACCCCCAGAAUGUCCAUUCCAGAAUGAGAAGUCUGUCAUCAAGCAUGCUGAGUAAAUAAAGGCUGGUUUAUCUGCUGUAACA